GGGUUGUGAGGUUAAGCGACUAAGCGUACACGGUGGAUGCCCUGGCAGUCAGAGGCGAUGAAGGACGUGCUAAUCUGCGAUAAGCGUCGGUAAGGUGAUAUGAACCGUUAUAACCGGCGAUUUCCGAAUGGGGAAACCCAGUGUGAUUCGUCACACUAUCAUUAACUGAAUCCAUAGGUUAAUGAGGCGAACCGGGGGAACUGAAACAUCUAAGUACCCCGAGGAAAAGAAAUCAACCGAGAUUCCCCCAGUAGCGGCGAGCGAACGGGGAGCAGCCCAGAGCCUGAAUCAGUGUGUGUGUUAGUGGAAGCGUCUGGAAAGGCGCGCGAUACAGGGUGACAGCCCCGUACACAAAAAUGCACAUGCUGUGAGCUCGAUGAGUAGGGCGGGACACGUGGUAUCCUGUCUGAAUAUGGGGGGACCAUCCUCCAAGGCUAAAUACUCCUGACUGACCGAUAGUGAACCAGUACCGUGAGGGAAAGGCGAAAAGAACCCCGGCGAGGGGAGUGAAAAAGAACCUGAAACCGUGUACGUACAAGCAGUGGGAGCACGCUUAGGCGUGUGACUGCGUACCUUUUGUAUAAUGGGUCAGCGACUUAUAUUCUGUAGCAAGGUUAACCGAAUAGGGGAGCCGAAGGGAAACCGAGUCUUAACUGGGCGUUAAGUUGCAGGGUAUAGACCCGAAACCCGGUGAUCUAGCCAUGGGCAGGUUGAAGGUUGGGUAACACUAACUGGAGGACCGAACCGACUAAUGUUGAAAAAUUAGCGGAUGACUUGUGGCUGGGGGUGAAAGGCCAAUCAAACCGGGAGAUAGCUGGUUCUCCCCGAAAGCUAUUUAGGUAGCGCCUCGUGAAUUCAUCUCCGGGGGUAGAGCACUGUUUCGGCAAGGGGGUCAUCCCGACUUACCAACCCGAUGCAAACUGCGAAUACCGGAGAAUGUUAUCACGGGAGACACACGGCGGGUGCUAACGUCCGUCGUGAAGAGGGAAACAACCCAGACCGCCAGCUAAGGUCCCAAAGUCAUGGUUAAGUGGGAAACGAUGUGGGAAGGCCCAGACAGCCAGGAUGUUGGCUUAGAAGCAGCCAUCAUUUAAAGAAAGCGUAAUAGCUCACUGGUCGAGUCGGCCUGCGCGGAAGAUGUAACGGGGCUAAACCAUGCACCGAAGCUGCGGCAGCGACGCUUAUGCGUUGUUGGGUAGGGGAGCGUUCUGUAAGCCUGCGAAGGUGUGCUGUGAGGUAUGCUGGAGGUAUCAGAAGUGCGAAUGCUGACAUAAGUAACGAUAAAGCGGGUGAAAAGCCCGCUCGCCGGAAGACCAAGGGUUCCUGUCCAACGUUAAUCGGGGCAGGGUGAGUCGACCCCUAAGGCGAGGCCGAAAGGCGUAGUCGAUGGGAAACAGGUUAAUAUUCCUGUACUUGGUGUUACUGCGAAGGGGGGACGGAGAAGGCUAUGUUGGCCGGGCGACGGUUGUCCCGGUUUAAGCGUGUAGGCUGGUUUUCCAGGCAAAUCCGGAAAAUCAAGGCUGAGGCGUGAUGACGAGGCACUACGGUGCUGAAGCAACAAAUGCCCUGCUUCCAGGAAAAGCCUCUAAGCAUCAGGUAACAUCAAAUCGUACCCCAAACCGACACAGGUGGUCAGGUAGAGAAUACCAAGGCGCUUGAGAGAACUCGGGUGAAGGAACUAGGCAAAAUGGUGCCGUAACUUCGGGAGAAGGCACGCUGAUAUGUAGGUGAAGUCCCUCGCGGAUGGAGCUGAAAUCAGUCGAAGAUACCAGCUGGCUGCAACUGUUUAUUAAAAACACAGCACUGUGCAAACACGAAAGUGGACGUAUACGGUGUGACGCCUGCCCGGUGCCGGAAGGUUAAUUGAUGGGGUCAGCGCAAGCGAAGCUCUUGAUCGAAGCCCCGGUAAACGGCGGCCGUAACUAUAACGGUCCUAAGGUAGCGAAAUUCCUUGUCGGGUAAGUUCCGACCUGCACGAAUGGCGUAAUGAUGGCCAGGCUGUCUCCACCCGAGACUCAGUGAAAUUGAACUCGCUGUGAAGAUGCAGUGUACCCGCGGCAAGACGGAAAGACCCCGUGAACCUUUACUAUAGCUUGACACUGAACAUUGAGCCUUGAUGUGUAGGAUAGGUGGGAGGCUUUGAAGUGUGGACGCCAGUCUGCAUGGAGCCGACCUUGAAAUACCACCCUUUAAUGUUUGAUGUUCUAACGUGGACCCGUAAUCCGGGUUGCGGACAGUGUCUGGUGGGUAGUUUGACUGGGGCGGUCUCCUCCUAAAGAGUAACGGAGGAGCACGAAGGUUGGCUAAUCCUGGUCGGACAUCAGGAGGUUAGUGCAAUGGCAUAAGCCAGCUUGACUGCGAGCGUGACGGCGCGAGCAGGUGCGAAAGCAGGUCAUAGUGAUCCGGUGGUUCUGAAUGGAAGGGCCAUCGCUCAACGGAUAAAAGGUACUCCGGGGAUAACAGGCUGAUACCGCCCAAGAGUUCAUAUCGACGGCGGUGUUUGGCACCUCGAUGUCGGCUCAUCACAUCCUGGGGCUGAAGUAGGUCCCAAGGGUAUGGCUGUUCGCCAUUUAAAGUGGUACGCGAGCUGGGUUUAGAACGUCGUGAGACAGUUCGGUCCCUAUCUGCCGUGGGCGCUGGAGAAUUGAGGGGGGCUGCUCCUAGUACGAGAGGACCGGAGUGGACGCAUCACUGGUGUUCGGGUUGUCAUGCCAAUGGCACUGCCCGGUAGCUAAAUGCGGAAGAGAUAAGUGCUGAAAGCAUCUAAGCACGAAACUUGCCCCGAGAUGAGUUCUCCCUGACUCCUUGAGAGUCCUGAAGGAACGUUGAAGACGACGACGUUGAUAGGCCGGGUGUGUAAGCGCAGCGAUGCGUUGAGCUAACCGGUACUAAUGAACCGUGAGGCUUAACCUUACAACGCCGAAG
This 2925-nucleotide ribosomal RNA is filed under the name Escherichia coli. RNAcentral describes it as "23S ribosomal RNA". It matches the Rfam family "Bacterial large subunit ribosomal RNA". The record is from RNAcentral. Lineage: Bacteria; Pseudomonadati; Pseudomonadota; Gammaproteobacteria; Enterobacterales; Enterobacteriaceae.